This 253-nucleotide unclassified non-coding RNA is filed under the name uncultured Myxococcales bacterium. RNAcentral's name for it is "contains 16S-23S intergenic spacer region". It matches the Rfam family "Bacterial small subunit ribosomal RNA", at positions 524 to 776 of the family's 1533-position model. Lineage: Bacteria; Pseudomonadati; Myxococcota; Myxococcia; Myxococcales. The record is from RNAcentral.
GACAGAGGGUGCAAGCGUUGUUCGGAAUCAUUGGGCGUAAAGGGCGCGUAGGCGGCGAGGCAAGUCGGAUGUGAAAGCCCAGGGCUCAACCUUGGAAGUGCAUCCGAAACUGCUUGGCUUGAGUCCCGGAGAGGGUGGUGGAAUUCCCAGUGUAGAGGUGAAAUUCGUAGAUAUUGGGAGGAACACCCGUGGCGAAGGCGACCACCUGGACGGAGACUGACGCUGAGGCGCGAAAGCGUGGGGAGCAAACAGG